This 253-nucleotide ribosomal RNA is filed under the name uncultured Eubacteriales bacterium. Its description in RNAcentral is "uncultured Clostridiales bacterium partial 16S ribosomal RNA". It matches the Rfam family "Bacterial small subunit ribosomal RNA", at positions 524 to 776 of the family's 1533-position model. The record is from RNAcentral. Lineage: Bacteria; Bacillati; Bacillota; Clostridia; Eubacteriales.
UACGUAGGGGGCAAGCGUUAUCCGGAUUUACUGGGUGUAAAGGGGGCGCAGACGGCGAUGCAAGCCAGGAGUGAAAGCCCGGGGCCCAACCCCGGGACUGCUCUUGGAACUGCGUGGCUGGAGUGCAGGAGGGGCAGGCGGAAUUCCUGGUGUAGCGGUGAAAUGCGUAGAUAUCAGGAGGAACACCGGUGGCGAAGGCGGCCGCCUGGCCUGUUACUGACGCUGAGGCACGAAAGCGUGGGUAUCGAACAGG